GACGAACGCUGGCGGCGUGCCUAAUACAUGCAAGUCGAGCGAACCAAUAAGAAGCUUGCUUUUUGUUGGUUAGCGGCGGACGGGUGAGUAACACGUGGGUAACCUGCCUGUAAGACCGGGAUAACUCCGGGAAACCGGUGCUAAUACCGGAUAGAUUAUCUUUCCGCAUGGAGAGAUAAGGAAAGAUGGCUAUUGCCAUCACUUACAGAUGGGCCCGCGGCGCAUUAGCUAGUUGGUGAGGGAACGGCUCACCAAGGCGACGAUGCGUAGCCGACCUGAGAGGGUGAUCGGCCACACUGGGACUGAGACACGGCCCAGACUCCUACGGGAGGCAGCAGUAGGGAAUCUUCCGCAAUGGACGAAAGUCUGACGGAGCAACGCCGCGUGAGCGAAGAAGGUCUUCGGAUCGUAAAGCUCUGUUGUUAGGGAAGAACAAGUAUCGGAGGAAAUGCCGGUACCUUGACGGUACCUGACGAGAAAGCCACGGCUAACUACGUG
Molecule: ribosomal RNA, 498 nt
Filed under: uncultured bacterium
Lineage: Bacteria
Description: partial 16S ribosomal RNA
Rfam family: Bacterial small subunit ribosomal RNA
Source: RNAcentral